This 422-nucleotide ribosomal RNA is filed under the name uncultured bacterium. Its description in RNAcentral is "bacterial SSU rRNA". It matches the Rfam family "Bacterial small subunit ribosomal RNA", at positions 359 to 773 of the family's 1533-position model. The record is from RNAcentral.
GAAUUUUGCGCAAUGGCCGCAAGGCUGACGCAGCAACGCCGCGUGAGUGAAGAAGGCCUUCGGGUUGUAAAGCUCUGUUGCCCGUGAAGAAACCUGACUUCAGGAAAUGGGAGUCAGCUGACGGUAGCGGGAGAGGAAGCCCCGGCUAACUACGUGCCAGCAGCCGCGGUAAUACGUAGGGGGCGAGCGUUGUCCGGAUUUAUUGGGCGUAAAGGGCGUGUAGGCGGCCGUGUAAGUCAGGAGUGAAAACCCAGGGCUCAACCCUGGGACUGCUUCUGAAACUGCGUGGCUUGAGUGCUCUAGAGGGCAGUGGAAUUCCCGGUGUAGCAGUGAAAUGCGUAGAGAUCGGGAGGAACACCAGUGGCGAAGGCGACUGCCUGGGGAGUAACUGACGCUGAGGCGCGAAAGCUGGGGGAGCAAAC